Molecule: ribosomal RNA, 497 nt
Filed under: uncultured bacterium
Lineage: Bacteria
Description: partial 16S ribosomal RNA
Rfam family: Bacterial small subunit ribosomal RNA
Source: RNAcentral
GAUGAACGCUGGCGGCGUGCCUAAUACAUGCAAGUCGAGCGAACAGACGAGGAGCUUGCUCCUCUGACGUUAGCGGCGGACGGGUGAGUAACACGUGGAUAACCUACCUAUAAGACUGGGAUAACUUCGGGAAACCGGAUCUAAUACCGGAUAAUAUAUUGAACCGCAUGGUUCAAUAGUGAAAGACGGUUUUGCUGUCACUUAUAGAUGGAUCCGCGCCGCAUUAGCUAGUUGGUAAGGUAACGGCUUACCAAGGCAACGAUGCGUAGCCGACCUGAGAGGGUGAUCGGCCACACUGGAACUGAGACACGGUCCAGACUCCUACGGGAGGCAGCAGUAGGGAAUCUUCCGCAAUGGGCGAAAGCCUGACGGAGCAACGCCGCGUGAGUGAUGAAGGUCUUCGGAUCGUAAAACUCUGUUAUUAGGGAAGAACAAAUGUGUAAGUAAAUAUGCACGUCUUGACGGUACCUAAUCAGAAAGCCACGGCUAACUACGUG